This is a non-coding RNA of Edwardsiella ictaluri 93-146, 89 nucleotides long. The record is from Rfam. NCBI's taxonomy places the organism in Bacteria, Pseudomonadati, Pseudomonadota, Gammaproteobacteria, Enterobacterales, Hafniaceae.
CCCAGAGGUAUUGAUUGGUGAGAGUUCAGUGUUCAGUUGCUGAAGCCAACAAAAUUACACCGACCUACGCGGAUGCGUAGGUUUUUUUU